This 71-nucleotide transfer RNA is filed under the name Marmota monax (woodchuck). RNAcentral describes it as "tRNA.Ala". It matches the Rfam family "tRNA". From Rfam's summary of the family: Transfer RNA (tRNA) molecules are approximately 80 nucleotides in length. Their secondary structure includes four short double-helical elements and three loops (D, anti-codon, and T loops). Lineage: Eukaryota; Metazoa; Chordata; Mammalia; Rodentia; Sciuridae. The record is from RNAcentral.
GAGGUUGUGGCUCCAUGGUAGAGCACUUGCCUAGCAAGUAAAAGGCCCUGGCUUCAAUUCUCAGCACCACA